This 253-nucleotide ribosomal RNA is filed under the name uncultured bacterium. RNAcentral describes it as "partial 16S ribosomal RNA". It matches the Rfam family "Bacterial small subunit ribosomal RNA", at positions 524 to 776 of the family's 1533-position model. The record is from RNAcentral.
GACGUAGGGCGCGAGCGUUGUCCGGAUUUAUUGGGCGUAAAGAGCUCGUAGGCGGCUCAUUGCGUCAAUCGUGAAAACCAGCAGCUCAACUGUUGGCUUGCAGUCGAUACGGGCAGGCUGGAGUUCGGUAGGGGAGACUGGAAUUCCUGGUGUAGCGGUGAAAUGCGCAGAUAUCAGGAGGAACACCGGUGGCGAAGGCGGGUCUCUGGGCCGAUACUGACGCUGAGGAGCGAAAGCGUGGGGAGCGAACAGG